Molecule: ribosomal RNA, 410 nt
Filed under: uncultured microorganism
Description: bacterial SSU rRNA
Rfam family: Bacterial small subunit ribosomal RNA
Source: RNAcentral
CAGCAGCCGCGGUAAUACGUAGGUGGCAAGCGUUGUCCGGAAUCAUUGGGCGUAAAGCGCGCGCAGGCGGUCCUUUAAGUCUGAUGUGAAAUCUUGCGGCUCAACCGUAAGCGGUCAUUGGAAACUGGGGGACUUGAGUGCAGGAGAGGAAAGCGGAAUUCCAUGUGUAGCGGUGAAAUGCGUAGAGAUAUGGAGGAACACCAGUGGCGAAGGCGGCUUUCUGGCCUGUAACUGACGCUGAGGCGCGAAAGCGUGGGGAGCAAACAGGAUUAGAUGCCCUGGUAGUCCACGCCGUAAACGAUGAGUGCUAAGUGUUGGAGGGUUUACGCCCUUCAGUGCUGCAGCUAACGCAUUAAGCACUCCGCCUGGGGAGUACGGUCGCAAGACUGAAACUUAAAGGAAUUGGCGGG